UGUCAAUGCUUAACAAAUAUAGAUCAUCAUUCGACAGUGUGGUAUAAAUGUCGCGCUACUGUAUUACGGUGCAAGUAUUGAAUGCGCAAGAUUACAAUAUGAGGCUGACAGUGGUGUUUUUAAUCGUGACAAUCCUGGUCUGCGCUAUGAUCCAGGAAUCUGAGCAAACCUCUUGGUUCUCUCGCCGAAGACUCCAUGGAUGCCGCCGCCAUAGGACGACAAUGGCCGCUACAACGGCAACAACAACAACAACAACAACAUCAACAACUUCAUCGACGCCUGCAGGUAGAAGAAAGCGCGAAAUUAUAGCUGGUCCGCUUUUAUCAGCAUUGGCGUAAUAAGGGUGAAGAAAUUGAAAACUCAAGUCUCCGCAAAGGAAAAUAAUACUAAAAUGCAGAAACUUCAUUAUAAUAAAAUAUAUGAUUAUAUUUCCGCUAAAUUAACAAGGCAAACUAGCAUAGUCUAGAAUUGUAGUAUGUGAAUGAAAUAGCCUCUGUAAUAAAAACAUUCGAGAUAUUAG
Molecule: RNA transcript, 520 nt
Organism: Formica exsecta
Lineage: Eukaryota; Metazoa; Arthropoda; Insecta; Hymenoptera; Formicidae
Exons: 2
Source: RefSeq, a predicted model, not a curated record